RNAcentral lists this ribosomal RNA (1361 nucleotides) under human oral metagenome. RNAcentral's name for it is "bacterial LSU rRNA". It matches the Rfam family "Bacterial large subunit ribosomal RNA", at positions 1135 to 2512 of the family's 2925-position model. The record is from RNAcentral.
UAACAGCUCACUAGUCGAGUAUCUCUGCGCCGAAAAUUAACCGGGGCUAAGCGUAGUACCGAAUCUUUGAAUCUAUAUGAAGAAUAUAGGAGGUAGGGGAGCGUUCCAUAGAGCAUAGAAGCCAUACCGAGAGGAGUGGUGGAGCGUAUGGAAGUGAGAAUGCCGGUGUGAGUAGCGAGAAAUCGGUGAGAAUCCGAUUCAGCGUAAGUCCAAGGUUUCCAGGGGAAGGUUCGUCCGCCCUGGGUAAGCCGGGAACUAAGGCGAGGCCGAAAGGCGUAGUCGAUGACCAGCAGGUUGAAAAUCCUGCGCACGGCUGAUGAGUGAAGGAGUGACAGAGAAGGAAAGCAUGAGCCCUGAACGGAUUGGGCAUUUCAUGGGGAUAGCAGGCUGAUAGGGAAAGCCGUCAGCGAAAUGUAAGCCAUGAGACGAGCGAACGGGCGACCAAGUAGCGAAGAGUGUGAAUCCAGCUCUCAAGAAAAGCUUCUAGCGAUAAUGAUCAGUUGUCCCGUACCAAAACCGACACAGGUGGACGAGGCGAAUAGCCUAAGCUGAGCGAGAGAACUGUUGCCAAGGAACUCGGCAAAUUGACCCCGUACGUUCGCAAGAAGGGGUACUCGAAAGAGUCGCAGUAAAAAGGCCCAAGCAACUGUUUAACUAAAACACAGCUCUCUGCCAAGUCGCAAGACGAAGUAUAGGGGGUGACACCUGCCCGGUGCUGGAAGGUCAAGGGGAUUUGUCAGACGCAAGUCAAAGCAUUGAACCGAAGCCCCAGUGAACGGCGGCCGUAACUAUAACGGUCCUAAGGUAGCGAAAUUCCUUGUCAGGUAAGUUCUGACCCGCACGAAAGGUGUAAUGAUUUGGGCACUGUCUCGGCAGCAGACUCGGUGAAAUCUUAGUACCUGUGAAGAUGCAGGUUACCCGCAACUAGACGGAAAGACCCCAUGGAGCUUUACUGUAGUCUGCUAUUGAGUUUCGGUUAAGUAUGCACAGGAUAGGUGGGAGACGAUGAGACUGGUCUUUCGGGAUCAGAGGAGUCACUGUUGGGAUACCACUCUUACUUAAUUGAAAUUCUAACUCUAAGCCGUGAUCCGGCUAGAGGACCGUGGCAGAUGGGCAGUUUGACUGGGGCGGUCGCCUCCCAAAGAGUAACGGAGGCGCUCAAAGGUACUCUCAGAAUGGUUGGAAAUCAUUCGGCGAGCGUAAAUGCAGAAGAGUGCUUGACUGCGAGACGAACAGGUCGAGCAGGGACGAAAGUCGGAAUUAGUGAUCCGGCGGUGCAGAAUGGAAUGGCCGUCGCUUAACGGACAAAAGCUACCCUGGGGAUAACAGGCUGAUCUCCCCCAAGAGUUCACAUCGACGGG